UCCAUCUCGUGUUCUCUCUCCUCUCUCCUCACUCCUCAACUAGAUCUCCCUCUUCUCUCUCUCUUUCCUCUCUCCACCGUGCCGCCGUCCAUUCCUCCCGCUUCCCUCUGUUCAUGUUCACGGUGCGUCAGCCGGGCGGUCCUAGCAACGGCGGCAGUGGCGCAAGGAGCUGAUACAAACCCACCUCUCGUCGUUUCCCCCUCGCGAAAUGAUUUUCCCUGAAGGUUCGUGCUUUUUUCUUCUUUUCUCUUUAAUUAAUUUCUUUAUUUCGUGAUUUUUGAGUUUUUAUUUUUCUCAAAUUUACAAUUUCAUGUUUUCGGAAACCAAGGGUUUUCUGAUUUUCGAUUUUAAUUAUAUAUUACUCCAUAGAAAUUGUUCCUUUCUCAAUUACAUGCAGCACCGCAAUUACUGAAUUUUGACAACAUUUCAUUGUCAGAUUUCUUGAAAUCAUAUAGAUCUGUGUUUUUGAGCUUUCAAAUUACUAAUGUGUAGUGGAGCGAACUUGGGUACGGGAUUUAACCCAGGUAUUGUGGCCAUGUGAAGGUUGGGUAUGGUGAUGAUUUUGAUGAUAAUGAGGUUUGCUGUGAUGGCUGUGAUGUUUGGGAGCAUGCUGAGUUUGCUGAAAUCUGUGGCAAAAAUCUCAAGGAUUUGGAAGAUGCGGAAUAUUACUGCCCUGAUUGCAAGCCAAAGUUUGCAUUUGAGCCAUCAUACUCUGUAGAUCUACCUGAAGUCAGCCCAAAACAACUUGUGCCAUCCGAUGAGGUAACUGUUGCGUGCAAUGGUAUGGAGGCAUCAUAUAUCCCAAGCCUUCACUUGAUUGUGUGUAAGUGUGGUAAAUGUGGGACAAGGAAGUAGUCAUUAAGUGAAUGGGAAAAGCACACUGGUUGUAGAGCCAAGAAAUGGAAGCAUAGCGUCAAAGUCAAAGGCUCAAUGAUCCCCUCGCAUCAGUGGGUAGUUGCAUCACAUAUCUAUGCUGAUAAUCGGGCCCCUAUUGAGAAAUUAAAAGAUGGUGAAGCUCCCCUUUUGACAACUUGCAAUCAAAAGCUGCUUAUAACUGUACGAUGAUGGUUGUAGCUCUUAUUGGUGCUCACCCUGCGAAGAAUUAGUCUGGCCAGAAUUAGAUCAGUUGCUUCGGGAUGAGGAUGAUGAAGUUGGAGGAAGUGGCAAAUAACCAAGCAAAGAAUUCACCAAAUACUACUGUAAGGGCUCACAGUGAAGAAGGUACUAGACAACCUGAUAACGGGCUUAGUGCUGGUUGAGAAUUUGCCUAAAAAUUCAUGUCGUUCAUGCCACUUUGUUUUUCGAGGAAUAUUGUAAUUUUACAGCUUUUUUAUGAAAAACAAUGUAAGUUAAUAUAUAUGUAAGUGUUUAUAUAUCAUUUUAAG
Molecule: long non-coding RNA, 1385 nt
Organism: Chenopodium quinoa (quinoa)
Lineage: Eukaryota; Viridiplantae; Streptophyta; Magnoliopsida; Caryophyllales; Amaranthaceae
Exons: 7
Source: RefSeq, a predicted model, not a curated record